This 99-nucleotide transfer RNA is filed under the name Deltaproteobacteria bacterium. RNAcentral describes it as "tRNA-Sec". It matches the Rfam family "Selenocysteine transfer RNA". The record is from RNAcentral. Lineage: Bacteria; Pseudomonadati; Myxococcota; Myxococcia. RNAcentral also lists the same sequence under 1 other name.
GGAGGUAGAUGAGUCUCUGGUGGGCUCCCCGGUCUUCAAAACCGCGCGUGGUGCUGUAGAACAGUGCUGGGUGGGUUCGAUUCCCACGUACCUCCGCCA